UACGUAGGGCGCAAGCGUUGUCCGGAAUUAUUGGGCGUAAAGAGCUCGUAGGCGGUCUGUUACGUCCGCUGUGAAAACCCAGGGCUUAACCCUGGGCUUGCAGUGGAUACGGGUAGACUAGAGGCAGGUAGGGGAGAAUGGAAUUCCCGGUGUAGCGGUGAAAUGCGCAGAUAUCGGGAGGAACACCGGUGGCGAAGGCGGUUCUCUGGGCCUGACCUGACGCUGAGGCACGAAGGUCAGGGGAGCAAACGGG
This 253-nucleotide ribosomal RNA is filed under the name uncultured bacterium. RNAcentral describes it as "partial 16S ribosomal RNA". It matches the Rfam family "Bacterial small subunit ribosomal RNA", at positions 524 to 776 of the family's 1533-position model. The record is from RNAcentral.